RNAcentral lists this ribosomal RNA (253 nucleotides) under uncultured bacterium. Its description in RNAcentral is "partial 16S ribosomal RNA". It matches the Rfam family "Bacterial small subunit ribosomal RNA", at positions 524 to 776 of the family's 1533-position model. The record is from RNAcentral.
UACAUGGGGUGCAAACGUUGCUCGGAAUUAUUGGGCGUAAAGCGCACGUAGGUGGUCACUUAAGUCGGAUGUGAAAGCCCUCGGCUCAACCGAGGAAGUGCACCCGAAACUGAAUGGCUAGAGUAUGGAAGAGGGUCGCGGAAUUUCCGGUGUAGAGGUGAAAUUCGUAGAUAUCGGGAGGAACACCGGUGGCGAAGGCGGCGACCUGGGCCAAUACUGACACUGAGGUGCGAAAGCGUGGGGAGCAAACAGG